CCGAGGUGUCGCUGUACAGAGAGAUAAAUAUAAAUAUGUGCAGUAUAAAUAACUAAACAUACAUCACAUCAGUGAAUUAAGGUCAGACUGUGUUUCAGCAGCUAACGAUUCAGAUAACAGCUCGUUGUUUACCGUGUUGCGACGCUGGAAUGCUCUGGAUGACGGAGUACGUGAGCUCUUGGUUUGAUCCAACUGGAAAUUAAAAAACAUUAAUUCAACACACAUUUAUGUAAAUUAACUUUUUCGUUGGCCACAUCCAGUUGAUUUCUGCCAUCUGAUACCAACUACUUCAUGUUUCAGGAGUGUUUUUAAAAUCAAAACUACAUAAUUGACUUUCUGGCCACACAGUAUUUAAAUUCAGGGAUAUUUUUUUUCUUCUCAUUUCUCACCCUGUGCUGAUUCAAACACAGGGAUAUCUGAUGUCUCAGCAUAGACGACCUCGUCCGUUUGUUCUCCUCUUCCUUCUGAACAAAAACAUGAAUGUGACAAGAUUAUUAAUUCAGUGCACAGUGAUCGAAAGCUGAUCACAGAAUUAGUGUCAAAUAACAACUAAAACAUGGCGAUAUGCAGUCGUUUCAACCAGAGAUGUUAUUUCUACAACCACUGUGAUUAAAUCUACUAGAUGCUGCAGUUCUGUGACGUCCAUCGCUCACCUCGUCUUUUGAUGCUGCAUCUCCAAGUGACGAAGACGAUGAUGACCAUGAGGAGGAGGAGGGGGACGAGCACUGCAGGGACCAACACAGCAGCUGGAAGGGUCAGGAAUGUGUUUCUUCUCCCCGUCACCAUCAGCUGUAAAAAUGUCAACUCUGUGUCCGUUCGUCUCUCUGCUCCACGUCACUGCACCGUCCACAGAGUGAGGACAAGGCAGAGCGACUGACUGCUUCUCCUGGACUAUCACAUGUUUUAUUGCUGCAGGAGAAACACAAAUAGAAACAUAAAUACACAUCUGUGUCCAGACUGUCUGCAUUUUAAUGUUGCAACAAAC
This 985-nucleotide long non-coding RNA is filed under the name Sparus aurata (gilthead seabream). RNAcentral describes it as "lncRNA (ENSSAUG00010001057.1)". The record is from RNAcentral. Lineage: Eukaryota; Metazoa; Chordata; Actinopteri; Spariformes; Sparidae.